UACGGAGGAUGCAAGCGUUAUCCGGAAUGAUUGGGCGUAAAGCGUCCGCAGGUGGCUGUGUAAGUCUGCUGUUAAAUAGUGAGGCUCAACCUCAUAAAGGCAGUGGAAACUACACGGCUAGAGUGCGUUCGGGGCAGAGGGAAUUCCUGGUGUAGCGGUGAAAUGCGUAGAGAUCAGGAAGAACACCGGUGGCGAAAGCGGCAUCCUGGACCGGCAUUGACGCUGAGGAGCGAAAGCCAGGGGAGCAAACGGG
This 253-nucleotide ribosomal RNA is filed under the name uncultured bacterium. RNAcentral describes it as "partial 16S ribosomal RNA". It matches the Rfam family "Bacterial small subunit ribosomal RNA", at positions 524 to 776 of the family's 1533-position model. The record is from RNAcentral.